GACGAACGCUGGCGGCGUGCUUAACACAUGCAAGUCGAGCGGAAAGGCCACUUCGGUGGUACUCGAGCGGCGAACGGGUGAGUAACACGUGAGUAAUCUGCCCUCCACUUUGGGAUAGCCACCGGAAACGGUGAUUAAUACCGGAUAUGACCAGUGCCUGCAUGGGUGUUGGUGGAAAGUUUUUUCGGUGGGGGAUGUGCUCGCGGCCUAUCAGCUUGAUGGUGGGGUAAUGGCCUACCAUGGCUUCGACGGGUAGCCGGCCUGAGAGGGUGACCGGCCACACUGGGACUGAGACACGGCCCAGACUCCUACGGGAGGCAGCAGUGGGGAAUAUUGGACAAUGGGCGGAAGCCUGAUCCAGCAACGCCGCGUGAGGGAUGACGGCCUUCGGGUUGUAAACCUCUUUCAGCACAGACGAAGCGCAAGUGACGGUAUGUGCAGAAGAAGCACCGGCCAACUACGUGCCAGCAGCCGCCGUAACAC
Molecule: ribosomal RNA, 483 nt
Filed under: uncultured bacterium
Lineage: Bacteria
Description: bacterial SSU rRNA
Rfam family: Bacterial small subunit ribosomal RNA
Source: RNAcentral